AUACAUAUAUCGCGUAUAGCCCACGAGCCAUAACAUUUAUAGCGUGUGCUGGCAACAGCCAUUACGAUUGUAACCGACUUUCGCGCACACGUCGACUUCGAUCGGUUCCCAGCCCGAAGUCGCUAUGGUAAUUGUCUACAAAUAGAAGCGAGCGACGACCCAAGAUCCCCAAGCGAACCCAAAACCCCCAACCGAACUGCAGCUGAUCCCCAAACGAUCCCCAACCGACAAUCAAGAAUAAUCAUGUAAACGAAAAGCGUAAUGCUCGUCCCACGAAACCCACGACUACCACGAUCCAAUCAAUGAUCCAUAAAGCGCUAACAAAAAAGCAAGAAACAGAAACACUGGCCCGUCUCGGGUUGGCCCGAUGACGAUUCCACAAUUAUCAGCGUGCCAUAAGCUACUGCAAAAGGGUGAAGGCACAUGGCAAGACUUGAGACCGAACCGAACCGAACCCAACCGCACCGAAUUGAAGCCCAAAAGACCGGACCCCGACCAUAGUCGACCAUACAAAUGAAUUGAAAUGCAAACAUCUUGUUAUGGAUGGAAGGCAUGUGCUCGCCUCGCAUCGU
This is a non-coding RNA of Drosophila melanogaster (fruit fly), 572 nucleotides long. The record is from Ensembl. NCBI's taxonomy places the organism in Eukaryota, Metazoa, Arthropoda, Insecta, Diptera, Drosophilidae.